UAGAACUCACAUUUGCUCGACUUCACCUCGGGACCCAAUUCCUCAAUUCCAGUGGAAGGAGAGUUCGUUGUGGACUUCUUCCGGCUUGCCUCCAAGCUCCAAGUGUGCCGUCGUCUAAGUACCAGACGUUUACUGGGGAUUGGGGGUUUGAGAUUGCUUUCUGGAUAGCUAGGCUGAAGAUAAAGAGGCUAAGGGGAUCUCCCUGCUGUGCACCGACCUGUUAAAAUAUGAGGGAUUCGCAGCCGCAGCUUCGGAUCUGUACAUAAUUGAUAAAUAAUAAAUCUUUGAGGAGAACGGAACGGAACCAUGCGCAAUGUGCGCAAUAAUUUUCAGAGGGCCUACCGCGUACCACGUUCUACUUGUUGCAUCCCUGUCACACUUACGUAGGAAUUUACAAGUGCGACAGAGAGGCAAUACUAUGAACUGUUUUAGUUGUGGUUCUGUCAUUUGCGUAUUCUUAUUCUUCGGGGUGUUUACAAUUUACAUAGAAAUCAAAGCGGAGAUAAGAAGAUGACUUCCGACUGUUAGUUUAGUUUUAUUUAAUAAUAGCCUCCAGUGAAGCAAUCCAAGUUUACUUUUGAGACUUGUAAAUAGUACAAUGUAAGUUACAUUCAGUGCGUUGUUUUUCGUGGCAUCAAUGUUUGAUCAAUAGGUACGCUCGAAUUCAGUAUCGCUAAGUAGAAUGGAGACGCUAGCCAAGGGUAUUUUGAUAAGCGCAGCGGUGGUGGUGGCGGCGGUGUCAGCAGUGGUGAACUGGUGGCAGUACAGACAGGUGCCGGCACGGUACUCCACUCAUGGCGAGCGGCCGAGACGGGACUGAGAUGAGCUUCCACCUGCACAUAGUAUUGAAUCAAGCAAUAAUGCGAUAUUAUUAGCUUUAAUAGAAAUUAAUAAUAUUUAUCACAAGUUGUCAAGUUAUGUUAUUUUAAGAUUGGUUAUUUUAAUUAAAUGUUUGAAUUAAUAA
Cydia splendana is the source of this 964-nucleotide long non-coding RNA. RefSeq lists it as uncharacterized. The record is from RefSeq and is a predicted model, not a curated record. NCBI's taxonomy places the organism in Eukaryota, Metazoa, Arthropoda, Insecta, Lepidoptera, Tortricidae. The transcript is spliced from 4 exons.